UCCUGGAUCUGAUAUCUGUUUCCUUCCCCAGAUCACAGAAGUUUUCAGCUAUGAUUUCCUCUAAGAAAUUUUCUGCUCCCUUUUCUCUCUUCUUCUUCUGGGACUUCUAUGAUACAAAUAUUAUUACGUUAGAUGGAGUCAAAUGUGAUGGAGAUCACUUGUGAUCCAUAAUUCUUCUCUCUCUCUUUUUUUCAGCUUCAUUAUUUUCCAUUAUUUUAUCUUCUAUAUUUCUUAUUCAUUCCUUUGCUUCUCCCAUCCUUGUGGGCAUUACAUUCAGUUAGUUUUGAAUCUCAGUUAUUGCAUUUUUCAUUUCUGAUUGUUCUUUAACUCUUUUAUUUCUGCACUAAGGGCCUCCCUGAGGUCUUCCCUGCUUUUCUCAAGCCCAGCAAGUAUCCUUAUGAUUGUUGCUUUAAAUUCUCCAUCAGGCAUAUUAGUUAUACCUGUUUUGGUUAGAUCUCUGGCCAUGACCUUAUCUUGUUCUUUCUUUUGGGAUGAAUUCCUGACAUUUUGUCCUGGCAUUUUGUCCAAGUCGCUAUCUUAUUCUGUGUUUCAGAAAAGCUUGUUUUAUUUCCUGCUCCUGGGAGUAAUGGUUUUAUGAAGAAGAGGUCAUAAAGUGUCCAGGACCUAGUGCUUCAGGGAGUGUCUCUUAUGUGUGCCGCAUGAGCUCUACUGCUAUGUUUUGGCUGCUCUAUCCUUUGGGCCAGUUGUCUUUAGAAGGUCUUGCCUGCAGUGGACAGUGUUUGGUCCUUGGCCAGUGUGGCAAGGUUUUACUAGGUGUUCUCUUGUCUGCUUGUUACAUGAGACCAGAUGCUACUUCCACUAGAACUGAAGCCUUGCAGAACUCUCUGGCCUGGAGUUGUGGUUAUGUAUGUGGGUUUCUACUGGUCUUCUGGGGAAGGGACAUGCCUGUGCUGGUCUUUAGGCACACUUGCCUGAGAAAAGUGGUAUUGGCAGAACGUGUGGUGGCAGGACUUGGUGAAGGUGCAGAACAACACAGGUAUUCACGUUCAUGGCUGGUGGGAAUACAAAAUGUUACUGCUGCUUUGCAAGAUGUUUAGCAGUUUUGUUUUGUUUUGUUUUGUUUUUUUGUUUUUACCAAACUAAAUGAUUUCACCAUAUGAUCUAGUAAUUGUGCUUCUUGGAAUUUACCCAAAGAAGUUGAAAAGUAAUGUCCAUAUAAAAAUAUGCAUAUGGAUGUUUAUAGCAGCUUUUUUUCAUGAUUACCAAAGCUUGGAAUCAACCAAGAUGUUUUUUUUUAAGUAGGUGAAUGGAUAAACAGUGGUAUAUCCAUACAAAGGAAUAGUAUUCAGCAAUAAAAAGAAAAGCUAUCAAGCCAUGAAAAGAGAUGGAAGAAGCUUCAGUGCAUAUUGCUAAGUGAAAAUUGCCAUCUUCAAAGGCUACAUCUUGCAUGAUUCCAACAAUAUGAAGUUCAAGAAAGAUGGCAUGACCAUCCACGUAAAAAAAAAUGAGAAAAAUAUCGGAAAACUGCUGAAACCAAUAAAUGAUUAUAGCAAGGUUGCUCCACACCUUCCACACCUGUGAGAAAGGCCAGACUCCAGAACACAGACAACACCAAAUGAUGGCUACCAACAAGUAUGUGGAGCAACACAAAC
This is a long non-coding RNA of Felis catus (domestic cat), 1613 nucleotides long. RefSeq lists it as uncharacterized. The transcript has 2 exons. NCBI's taxonomy places the organism in Eukaryota, Metazoa, Chordata, Mammalia, Carnivora, Felidae. The record is from RefSeq and is a predicted model, not a curated record.